UGAUAGAGGCGCGGCUGACAAAAGUAGCUCUCAGCAAACGGCAGGAGACCGGAGAGCGAAAGGGGACGCCGCCGAAGGGUUUAUCAGCUCCCCUGGCUGAUAAAUGCCUGGGCCGUCGGGGAAUACCCGCCGGACUGUCGUCCGCAAGGACGGAGUGCUGUCA
Molecule: non-coding RNA, 163 nt
Filed under: human gut metagenome
Description: Lysine riboswitch
Rfam family: Lysine riboswitch aptamer
About the family: Riboswitches are metabolite binding domains within certain messenger RNAs that serve as precision sensors for their corresponding targets. Allosteric rearrangement of mRNA structure is mediated by ligand binding, and this results in modulation of gene expression.
Source: RNAcentral